Molecule: ribosomal RNA, 1197 nt
Filed under: Triticum aestivum (bread wheat)
Lineage: Eukaryota; Viridiplantae; Streptophyta; Magnoliopsida; Poales; Poaceae
Description: partial small subunit ribosomal RNA
Source: RNAcentral
AUGGCGAGCAACGGCGACGAGGCUACCGCAGGGGUGGUCGGGAAGGUGACCUGCGCGGCGUGGAUAAAGCGGCCGGCCGUGUCCAGCAGCCGCAGUCUCCUCGUGGUGUACGGCCACGGCGCCACUGCCUCGUCCCCGCCGUUCCUCGACCUCCUCGCCUUCGACACCAGGGCGUGCGAGCUCGCCUCCGAGCCCCUGGUGAGCGAGCAGCCCGUGCGCGGGGUUUCGGCGCCUGCUGCUGCUACUGCUGCUACGGCCGUGUCUCUGACAGCGGGUUUAACGAUUUUGCAGCUGAGGGUCGUGAUGGGCGAGGAGGGAGCCGACGCGGACACGCCGCGCGCCAUCGCCGUGCACCCCGCCGGCGACGAGUUCGUCUGCGCCACCGCCAAAGGCUGCAGGCUGUUCAAGCUGGUCUAUGAUGACUUCUGUAUCAACCUUGUUUCGAGAGAUUCCUCGGCACUCCAAUCAGUUGGGCCUCAGCGAUGUUUGGCAUUCAGUACUGAUGGUACCAAGUUUGCUAUUGGUGGUGAGGAUGGACAUCUAAGAAUAUUUCACUGGCCAAGCCUCACUGUGCUUUUAGAUGAACCUAAAGCUCAUAAAUCCUUCAGGGACAUGGACAUCAGCUUGGAUUCAGCGUUUUUAGUAUCAACUUCAACUGAUGGUUCUGCAAGAAUAUGGAAGAUUGAUGAGGGAGCUCCACUCCUAAAUCUGACAAGAUCUUCGGAUGAAAGGAUUGAGUGUUGCCGCUUUUCUAGGGAUGGGAAGAAACCUUUUCUGUUUUGCACACUUGUAAAAGGAAAUGAUAUCGUGACUAUGGUUUUGAGCAUAAGUAACUGGAAGAGAAUUGGAUACAAAAGACUCCUGCGAAAGCCCAUUUCAACACUUUCAGUUAGCUUGGAUGGCAAGUAUCUCGCACUAGGAAGCCGUGAUGGCGACUGUUGUGUUGCCGAUGUACAGAAGAUGCAAGUUUCUCACCUGAUCAAGAAGGUCCAUCUUGGCUCCCCAAUUUCCUCCAUUGAAUUUUGCCCUACUGAAAGGAUUGUGAUCUCCACCUCGCAUCAAUGGGGAGCAGAGAUAACGAAGCUCGACGUCCCUGCCGACUGGAGAGUUUGGCAAAUCUGGCUGGUAUUCUUGAGCCUCUUCGUGACGUCGGCGAUCCUGUUCUACACGUUCUUCAAGCACACAAACCUGGUGUAA